This 301-nucleotide ribosomal RNA is filed under the name uncultured bacterium. RNAcentral's name for it is "partial 16S ribosomal RNA". It matches the Rfam family "Bacterial small subunit ribosomal RNA", at positions 509 to 807 of the family's 1533-position model. The record is from RNAcentral.
CAGCCGCCGCGGUAAUACGUAGGGUGCAAGCGUUAAUCGGAAUUACUGGGCGUAAAGCGUGCGCAGGCGGUUUGUUAAGACAGAUGUGAAAUCCCCGGGCUCAACCUGGGAACUGCAUUUGUGACUGGCAAGCUAGAGUGUGGCAGAGGGGGGCGGAAUUCCGCGUGUAGCAGUGAAAUGCGUAGAGAUGUGGAGGAACACCGAUGGCGAAGGCAGCCCCCUGGGCCAAUACUGACGCUCAUGCACGAAAGCGUGGGGAGCAAACAGGAUUAGAUACCCGCGUAGUCCCUGUCUCUUAUAC